Molecule: long non-coding RNA, 1983 nt
Organism: Equus caballus (horse)
Lineage: Eukaryota; Metazoa; Chordata; Mammalia; Perissodactyla; Equidae
Source: Ensembl
GGCCGGCCCGGGUGGGGGCGGGGCGCCGGAGGAUUUUACAGUAUCUUCGUUUUCGUGGGCGGGGACCCUCCCUCCUCCAGUCUCCUUGGGAGAGGUUUAACCGUGUGAGGACUGGAGUUCUCCAGGCUGCCGCCGCUUCUCCGCCGGGCUGGCGCGGGCGGCACGCCUCGGGGCAGUCACGACGCCUGAGGAAAAGCCUCCCUGCCGCGGGCCGGUGCUGCUGCUAAGGGGCCCCUCUACCACCGCGUCCCUCGGAGCCCGGACCACUUGACCGGCGUUCCUCCCUUCCGCUCACCUCCCUGAGACGACUGAGAUGUGCCCUUGGUUAGAAAGAAGAGAAUCUGUUUGAAUGAUAAGAUGAUAUUAUAUGUGAUAAUAAUAUGAUCCCUGGCAUAAUGGGACUAGCAAACCAGUUAAAGAAAUAAGAGAUAUGAAGGCAUUAAUGUUCCUGUUGCCAGUGGUAAAGAGGACAUGCCAAAACCACUUUCUGCAUGUGCCGGAACCAUCUGUGGCACACGCCAGAACCACCCGCCAGACAUGUGUGACCCACCUGCCUGACACACUGGAACCAACUGUUGGACAAGUCGGAACUAUCAUCUGGACACUCUGGAACUACCCACCGCAGACGCGAGGACACUGGUAGUCCAUGGCAAAGAGUUACUUAAAUUAUCCCUUAGAAAGCUAUGCUUUGGAUGAGCAAGAAAUUGCUGUCAUAGAACAUUUAGUGAAUAUAAGAGUAUAAAGAGGUUGGGUGAUUGCUUCUAAGUGUGCUGGAGAACUUGGAGAAAGAAAAUGAAUUCAAAAUUUUAAAUUCCUGGCUUGAGGUCCAGAUAAGGGACCAGAAAAUUUCUACUUCUUCCCUAAAAGAAACAUGUGUUUCAGGUAGUCACAAGGGAAAGGUUUCUGAAAACUAGGAUGACCAACUUAUCCUGGUCUGCCUGGGACUUUCCCUGUCUUAGUUCUGAAAGUUUCGUCUCCUGGGAAACCCCUCAGUCGUGGCCAAACCAGGAUGGACAGUUAGUCAACCUACAAAACCAAAACCUAAGUUAAAUCCUGCAAGUGGCUAAAUUACAGUGUAGAUUGUAUUCCCAUCCUUAUAGGUCUCUUAAAGUUAAGGCAUUCUUUGGGAAGCAGUGGGACCGUGAAAAUUGAGAGAUUCCAAAGAAGAUGAAGAUUUUAAACCCCUAAAUUCUGUUGAGCUUCCUUUGCCAGGAGGAACAGUCCCUUUCCCCUACCUGAGGAGAUUAAUCUUCCUUUCCUGAGGAAGUUGCUUUGCAAAGGCCUGCACAUUUUUCUCAGAACCUAUAACCAGUGCUUCUCACUGCUUCUGGAUUUAUAUCCAGACUCAAGUCCCAGCAGGCCUUAGGAAAAACUGUUACCCAUGGCAUAAUACACACACAAAAAAUGCAAGUAUUUGCCAAUUUAUAUUGACACAAACAUAGGCAGCAUAAAUAAGAAUGGAUCAUAAGGGUGCUGGAUCAAGUUGGAAGUGAUAUAAUGUUGUGGACAUAACAUGUUGGGAUCCCAGUAUUAUGCAAGCAUCUUCAAUUAGAUCUCACAUAUUAAGUGUCAGGCUUUAUCUGCUGAACAGAACAGGUAGUAGAAGCUCAACUAUCCAGGAUUUGCCGAGUGAAAUCUCACUUUGGCCCUCCUGUACCUCCUAGAGUUCCAUGUUUCAUUCCAUUUUAGGACCUCAUAUAUUUCUCAAGUUUGUGCCAGCUCUCCAUCAUAUGUAUAUUCAUAUAUAUGAAAGCAAUUUAUUCUUUCAGUUGGAAGAAUGUGAUAGGUUGCAAUAUGACCCAAAUUCUUCCCAUCCCUAUAUGCCAAAACCUUGUGUAUGACUGCUGCUCCUCCUAUUUCUCCACAAUUUGAAUAUAGGGUUGGCCGUAUGAUUAGCUUUAUCAAAUGGUAUAUUAGCAAAGGUAAUACAAGCAGAGACUUUGCAAGUACUGGUAUAUUGGAGCUUGGCCUCUCUUGCUGCUG